This 331-nucleotide unclassified non-coding RNA is filed under the name soil metagenome. RNAcentral's name for it is "partial contains 5.8S ribosomal RNA, internal transcribed spacer 2, and large subunit ribosomal RNA". The stretch from base 1 to 120 matches the Rfam family "5.8S ribosomal RNA", at positions 35 to 154 of the family's 154-position model. The record is from RNAcentral.
GAUGAAGAACGUAGCAAAAUGCAAUAAGUAAUGUGAAUUGCAGAAUUCAGUGAAUCAUCGAAUCUUUGAACGCACAUUGCGCCCGCCAGUAUUCUGGCGGGCAUGCCUGUUCGAGCGUCAUUUCAACCCUCAAGCACAGCUUGGUGUUGGGACUCGCGUUAAUUCGCGUUCCCCAAAUUGAUUGGCGGUCACGUCGAGCUUCCAUAGCGUAGUAGUAAAACCCUCGUUACUGGUAAUCGUCGCGGCCACGCCGUUAAACCCCAACUUCUGAAUGUUGACCUCGGAUCAGGUAGGAAUACCCGCUGAACUUAAGCAUAUCAUAAGCGGAGGA